Molecule: long non-coding RNA, 165 nt
Organism: Dermochelys coriacea (leatherback sea turtle)
Lineage: Eukaryota; Metazoa; Chordata; Testudines; Dermochelyidae
Exons: 3
Source: RefSeq, a predicted model, not a curated record
GUCAGUGGGAUUUGCAUGUCCACAUCCUCUCUUAGAAGAUGGCUUGAAAUCAAAGAUAUUCUGGAAUGCCACAACAGUGAAAUUAGCAGUCAUAUUCUUCAGUGCUACACAAUGACUGAAAACCGCACCAGAAAUGCUAGUGGUGGCAAAAGGCACUGGAUUUGA